Molecule: long non-coding RNA, 7761 nt
Filed under: Solanum melongena (eggplant)
Lineage: Eukaryota; Viridiplantae; Streptophyta; Magnoliopsida; Solanales; Solanaceae
Description: long non-coding RNA (SMEL_LNC000121)
Source: RNAcentral
CAAAUAAUGAAAAUCCACCAAAUAUUUUCUCAUCAGGUCUGGCUGGGUAACUGAAGUACACAUCAUUCAAUUCAAUAUUGCCACGAAUGUCAUUCAAUAUUUUUCCAUUGGUAUCAUAAGCAUCUAUCUCCGGCUUUCUCUCAAUGGUUUCGAACAUCUUGAAAGCUGCUGCUUGACCUGCAGCGAAUGCAGACAUACACGGAGAUGCCUGUCCUAGGGACCUGACAUAGGAAUGUUUAAUCAUAACGCAUGAAUUAAAGCUUAGAAAACCCCCCAUCUUCAAUUUACUAUUGAUGUAUUGUUAUAUGUAGCUUUUAAGAAAGAAAAAGAACUUACAUGGAAGCAGUUAACACAGCAACAAUUAUAUUGAUAACCUGACCACCUGUAUAUCCUUUUUCCAAGAUGAGCCUUGCACCAUACCAAAUAGCCAAAGCAUAGCUACAGUACAUAAGAGCAAAAAGUGAGCCAAGACCUAAUCCACUUGCCAGCCCUUCUUUUGCACCUGAAUGAUAAGCUUUGAUUAAAGACUCGUUGUAGUCGGCUAUAGCCUUCUUCUCCCCUGUAAAUGAUGCAACCUGAGGAGGAAACAAGAUACAUAUCAUACUUGUACUGAUAAAGAAGAAGGUAAAACAAAGAUAAUUGCUUUACUUAUGACAUACUAUUCUAAUGGAUCCAAUUGUCUGUUCAACCACCCCUGCAGCCUUGGCAUAAGCUUCUUGUCCACUCGACGCCAUCCUUGAUAAGAUGAGGGACAUCACACCACCAGAUAUUAUAAGUAGAGGAAUGAUCGAUAACAUAACAAACGUGAGAAGCCAUCCUUGGGUAAAUGCAAUGGCAAACCCCCCGAUGAAUGUUGAUAUCAGCUGUACACAUUUCCCUACCUACCACAGUUAAGGAAAUAACAUCAAGUAAUAGAAAAAGCAAUUUAAGGCAAACAGUACAUUGCUUUUCAGCAUAGAUACCUUUUCACCCAUCGCGUCUUGUAUAAGUACAGUGUCACCAGACAUCCUCCCAACCACCUCUCCUGUAUUUGUUUCGUUAUCAUAGAAAGCAAUAUCUUGUUGUAAAAUAGUUUUCAGAUACAAACUCCUUAUUCGAGAAGCUUGUCUUUCACCGGAUAUCAUCCAACAAGCAACCUCUGUACAACAUAUUCAUAUUCAUUUAAACAUCAAUCAUGACUACCUAUACUUAAUAAAGACAGAUUAAUGCUCAAACUUACGAAGAAACGCAGCUACCCCACAUGCCACAGCUAAGUAAACCAUUUUCAAGGAGAUCUACGUAGAAAUUAGAGAGAUUAUGAUGAUUUUCAGUAUUAUCAAAAACGAAACAAGAAGCUUGAAAAUGUUAAUUACCUUAGAGACCAGUCGAAGCACAUCUUUGUUAUUUUGGUUUUGUCCAAAAGAAUCAGUCAAUUCUCCGAAAAGAACAGUCAUGAAGGGGAUUGACAAUCCAUUUCCAAUAGCUCCAAUAGUUCCAAUGAUCAUCAAAACUAUAUCCGUUGAAUCCGCAAAGGAAAAGAGCUUGUAAAAAGGAACUGUUUGUAUUUGUUUGAUCAUGUUUGAAUCCUGUUUGCCUCCUGCAUUAUCUUGUUCUUCUGAUGAGGCUUCAUUCAGCUUGUAAAAAGGAACUGUAUUAUUUUCAUUCAAAUCAUUCCCUUCACCCAUAGUUUUGUUUGUCACAAACACUAAUUUAGACUAAGUUAGACAUGAAAAAAGAAUGAAAUUUUAGUAAUAACAUUAUAUGUAUUGAGCCUUGAGUAGAAAAAUUAUGAACAAACUAUGUAUGAUAGUUGUGUUAUUCAAGAAAAAUAAUAGAUCAAACACAGAACGUGGGGGUGGGAGAAUUUAUUUUAUUUUUUUUAAUAAAAAAAACUAUAUACUAAGAAGGAAUAAUAAGAGUUAUUGAUGAUAUGUACGCACGUAUAGUAGUACAAUAGAUUUGAAGAUUUUAGACAACGUGGUGGGCAGAGAGAGCUAGAAAGAAAUUCUCCAUUACUUUGACCAAAUUGCCCUUCAAAAUAAAUACUAUAGAAAAAAAAAACGGAAACUUAGAUAAAUCUCACUAGUUUAAGAGUUAGUUACUUAGAUAUAGUCUAAUUUGCAAUAUUUUACGUAUCUUAUCAGACUUUGAUGUGUUCAGAUACGUCGAAAUUGAAGUCAAAAUUAGGUGUAAUUAUAUUUGUUGUAGUACAUUGUAUUCAAGUGUCCGCAUGUAUUUGAGGUACAUAACAAAUCUUGUUCGUCAGUCUCCUGUAUCUCUAGUAUCUCAGGUACAUUCAAGUACGGUAUCUAGUGUCGUUCGCAAUGUAUCAGGAAUACAUAACAGAUCGAUCUCACUCUCCUAGUGUGAUUAGCAAUGUAUCAGGAAUACAUAACAAAUCUUACUCACCUCAAGACCAUCUCAGUCCCUACCCUUCCUAUUUUAGUCAGUUUGGUAACAAAAAUACAUAUAUCUAAGUGUAUCAUCCUUACUAUAUGAUGAAAAAUUCUUAAUUAGUGAUAAAAUACGUAAUAUUUUUAAAAUAUAGAUAAUAGUAGGUGCUUGUGAUGAUAAUGUAGUUUCUCCUAAAAGUAAUAUAUAUAUAUAUAUAUAUAUUUUUUAUUUCUUUAUUUUUUUUUAAUUUUUUUUUUAUAGAAAAUCAAACUAACUCAAUUUGAUUAAGGCCAUCAUUCAUGCCCAACCCAGUUGACCUCGGACUGAUCGAGUUCAAUCUUUUAUGAACCAGAUCGGUCCGAUUUAAAUUUAACUAAUUAAAUAUUUUUAUUUUUAAUGAUAUUUUUUUUACGAGGUACCUAUUAAAGUCUGAUUCAAAGAUAUUGUUGCUUGAUAAUUCCUAAUAUUAGUCAGAUUGUUAUCUGUUAGAAAAUUAGCAUUUAUUAUAAAAUAUUUAAAGUUGAUGAUGGUUAAUAUUAAUCAGAUAGGAAAUUAGCACUUGCGAUAAAAUAUUUAAAGUUGACCACGCAAAACAAUAAAAUAUAAUUAUAUAAAGUUAGUUGUAUGCAAAUAUGAACUUCACAUGGCCCAACCAACUUUUUGAAUUUUGAAGAUUUGUCCUUUGAAUAUUACAAAAUAAUAAGCUAAAUAUGGUAUUUGUUUUCUUUUUUAGUUUCUUAAUUUUUCAUUACAUGUUUCUUUUACUUGAUUGAUGAAUAAAAAAGUAGGAAACUAAAUUUAGAUUGAAAAAUACAAGUUCCUACUAGCUAGGGAUGAUGGAAGCACAACUUCACAAUAUUCAAACGUUGAGGACACGUAUGAACAUAGACAAACUAGACGAUCCAUUUGGGAAGCUGUCAAAUUACAAUUGGUUGAAGUAACGAGCAUGUGCACGAAAGAUGAAAACCAUAUGUACAUGUAUAAAUAGAAGUUUCUAUAACAUAGUUCUGAGUAAACUGUUGAUGAAUUUAAUUGCUACAACAAGUAAUCGUGCGCGCAGGCUGCAAAACCAGUAAAACAAAAUGAGAGACUGGAAGCAGCCAGGGAACUUAACAAACACAACACAUGAUGACAUUGAUUUGCUUCUCUCAAAAUAACAAAAAUAAUAAGAUACAAGUAUUGAGAGCAUAAGACUAGGAAGCACUGGUGUGGAGGGCCACCAAAGAGGAAUAGAAGCCAUCUUUGAUAUUGAUAAGAGUAUCAUGUUUCCCUUUCUCCACAAUUACUCCAUUUUUCACCACAGCAAUUACAUCUGCUCCUUUGAUGGUAGAUAAUCUAUGUGCUACCACCACGGUUGUACGAUUUACCAUCACCCGAUCAAGUGCAUCUUGAACUAUUCUCUCUGAUUCUGCAUCCAAUGCGCUUGUCGCCUCAUCUAAUAGUAGGAUUUUUGGAUUUUUCAAUAUGGCCCUCGCUAUAGCUACUCGUUGCUUCUGCCCACCUGACAGUUGAGUUCCUCGUUCUCCCACUGUCGUAUCAUAACUCUGUAAUGUAAUAUUCAUGUGUAAGCUCACCUAUCAUUUCCAUUGACAGUAUAUCUAUAUAUAUAGAGAGAGUUAUAGUAUUCAAACUAAUUACCUGUUGCAGACCACUGAUGAACUUGUGGGCGUUUGCUAAUUCGGCUGCUGCUAAAACUUCUGCUUCUGUUGCAUUUCCUUCCUUUCCAUAGGCAAUAUUGGCUCGAAUUGUGUCGUUGAACAACACAGGCUCUUGGCUUACAAGCCCCAUUUGCUGCCUUAGCCAUUUUACCUGGAACUUCUGAAUUUCUAUUCCGUCCAACGAAAUCUGGCCUGAAUCAGGAUCAUAAAACCUUUGCAGCAAUGAUAUUACGGUAGACUUUCCACAUCCGCUCUCCCCAACCAAAGCAACCGUCUGAAAUUCAACAACAUAACAAAGUUAAUCAAUGAAUUUUAUUUAACCAGUAAGGUAAACUCCAUAUGCCUUACUUUGUCAUGGAAAAACGAUAUCUAAGAUGGAAUCAAACAUGAGUAAACUCACCUUUCCACUGCGAAUGGUCAAACAAAGGUCUCUUAAAAUUUGAACAUCUGGCCUUGUCGGAUACUUAAAGCUUACGUGCUUCAGCUCAAUAUCUCCCUUCACUGUGUCCAGUGUCAUACCAGAUUCAUCACUUGGAUCUAUUUUUGAUUUCCUGUCUAGAAUAGCAAAUACGGAAGCAGCUGCACUCUUGGCCUUGCUUGAAUCUGGAGCCAAUGAGCUUGACUGGGAAAUUCCUAUAGCUGCCAUCGUCAGAGAAAAGAAAACCUGCCAGGUCGCAAAUACUCCACAUUAUCCUCAAAACAGACAUUUACUAAAAUUCUGAACGAAAAUGUAACAGGGGGAAUUGUGCCACAUACACGGAAGACGUCUGAGAAAGUGAUUUGGCCAGCUUGAACAAGACGAGCUCCCGCAUAAAAACUGGUUGCAUAUACACAAAACAGCAAAGCAAACGAUACACCAAACCCGAUCCCACUAAUCAAACCUUGCUUUAUUCCUGCCUUCAAUGGGCCUUCACACUUUCUUUUGUAUAUUUCCAUCACCUUCUCUUCUGCACAAAAUGACGCAACAGUUCUUAUACCUCCAACAGCAUCAUUUGCAACUUGACUUGCUUCCUCAUACAUCACCUGCGUAAAGUACAAUUAAUCAGAGAAUUAUCAUCCAGAGAAUCUGGCAAUGGUAAAAGAUACUCCCUCCGUACCAAUCUAUGCGGCACCAUUGGACUAGGUGCAAAGUUUAAGAAAGAAACAGAAGUCUUUUGAAAUUUUUGGUCUAAAACAAAACUUCAACCUUUGUGUGCAAUUCAAAGUUAAGAUGUUUCAAAAUAUAGAAACGAGAUAUUCUUUUUGGGACAGACUAAAAAGGGAAGUGUGUCACAGUGAUUGGGACGGAUGGAGUAAUAAAAAAAUAACCAUGUGAAGGUUAAAAUGAUUUAUAGCUUGGGUAAUGUAGUGAUUUUACUGAUGUCUGAGAAAAAAUUUCAAGUUUAAGAUUCAAUUAUCCAUAUUCUUUAAUAUCACCAGCAACAGUAAGCUGUAUAAUAAGGAUUUGGACAAACCUUUGCAUUUGCACUGAACCCUUUCAUGAACUUGAUUUGGAUAUAUCCAUUUAAUCCGAUUAGAGGAAUCAUAACAAGAAUAAUAAGUGCCAACUGCCAACUCGCUUCAAAAGCAAUAGCUAAACCUACAAUUGAUGUUGCAAUAUCUUGGACCAUUUGAGCAAGUGCAUCUCCUACUAAACCACGGACUGCAGCUGCAUCAGCAGAAAGUCUAGCGCCAAUGAUUCCAGUGGAGUGCUCAGAGUCAUCAAACCAUCCUACCUCCAUGCGGACCACCUUCUCAAAGCACAUUGAUCUAAUUCUUCUUAUCAACUUACAACCAGCUAUACUAAAAAGGUAUGUCCUUGCAGGGAAGGCAAUAAAAGUUACACCUCCAAGAAGAACAAACAUAAGAGCCCAAAACUUUGAGUCCUUCCUUAGUUCAUGUGGUGGCUCAUAAAAUGUUUUGAUCACACUAGAGAGUAAUAUCCCGAAAAUUGGAAGUAUAGAACCAUUAAUAAUUGCAGCCACAGUUCCAAUAAUCAUCACAGGUAUUUCAGGCUUGUUGAGAUACGCUAGGCGACGAAUGGGGACCUCUAACCGCUUUUCAGCUACUUCCUGGAUACCCGUUUCUGUGUCUGUGUUAGCUGUUUCAGGUACACUAAGUCCAGUAGCUAAACCAAAUGAUAUGGAGAGUGAACGGCGGCUGCUAUUUCCUACACCAGAUGAACUCCGACUGAUAGAUCGCAUUAGUGAUACUCUUUGACUCGACUGUCUACCAGAUCCCAUAGACUUCUCUAUGCUGUCCCUCUCAUCUAAGCCUGAUUUAUCUGUUUUAUUGUUCACUUCUUGUAAGCGUAUGAGCUGAGAGUAUGCUCCCUCAGGAUCCUUGAGUAGUUCACCAUGUGUACCUGAACAGUCCACAGCAAUGACGUUAAAGUGAAUGUUUGUGUCAUCUUUCUUUUAAGAAAUUCAUUCAGACGGAAAAGAAACUCGCAGUUGAAGUGUCCUUUAAAGCUCUGCUAGGGAAGACUUAAAGAUUCAGAAAACAAGCAUUAGGUUCAUAAUAGUCUAUAGUGAUUGAAACAACACACACAAAUAAUACUAAUGGCCUCUGCUAGGAAAGACUUACAGAUUCAGAAAACAAGCAUUAGGUUCAUAAGAGUCUAUAGUGAUUGGAACAACACAUACAAAUAAUACUAUUGAAGAAGUUAUUGGUUCUUGUUUGGAUGUUUCUGAACUAAGACGAGUUGAAUUUGUCAUUUAAUAUGCUAACCAGACUACUAUAACAUAUUCUUUAUUAGUAUAUGUUGUUGAACAGAAUAAUAGUGAAGUCAAUAUUGAUGAUCAUCCGGAGGAAAGAGAAUAGCAUAUCUAACUAAGUCUAUAUGGUUCAAUACCUUUUUCAACGACUUUUCCCCGAUGUAUGACUGCAAUCAUAUCAGCAUUUCUUACUGUGGUCAAUCGAUGUGCAACUAUGACGGUUGUUCUGUUGAUCAUAAUUCUAUCCAAUGCUUCUUGUACAACUCUCUCAGAUUCUGCAUCUAAUGCACUUGUUGCUUCAUCUAACAGUAAUAUCCUUGGAUCUUUUAAAAUUGCUCUGGCAAUGGCAAUUCUUUGCUUUUGCCCACCAGAAAGUUGAGUUCCAUGUUCUCCAACCAUGGUGUCUAGACCCUGAAUAAAGAAGUUUUAGUGCAAAUGGUAAAUCAGGAGACAACUCAAUUGGUUAAAAAGAAAUCUGAAAGAAGCAGCUAAAAUUUUGAAAGAUGACCAGACUAAGUUGCUAAUAGAACCUGUGGGAGUUUAUCGAUGAACUUUGCGGCAUUUGCUAACUCAGUUGCAACUUUGAUCUCUUCAGCAGUAGCAUCGUACUUGCCAUACAGAAUAUUUUCCUUAAUGCUUGCUGUGAAGAGUACAGGUUCUUGGCUCACAAGACCAAUCUUUCCCCUGAUCCACUUAAGCUGGAAGUCCUUGAGAUUAAUUCCAUCAAUCAGAACUUGACCAGAUUGAGGAUCAUAAAAUCUUUCUAUUAGACUUAUGACUGUUGACUUCCCACUUCCACUUUGCCCAACCAAAGCUGCAGUUGUGCCACUCGAUACAAAUAAUGAAAAUCCACUGAAAAUUUGUUCAUCAGGUCUGGCUGGGUAAGUGAAGCACACAUCAUUCAAUUCAAUAUCACCACGGAUGUCGUCCAAUAUUUUUCCAUUGGUAUCAUAAGCAUCUAUCUCCGGCUUUCUUUUUAUGGUUUCAAACAUUUUGAAAGCUGCCGCUUGACCUGCAGCGAAUGCAGACAUACA